AUACUUACCUGCCAUAGGGGACACCGUAAUCAAUUAGGCAGUUCCCCCAGGGCGAGAUGUUUCCAUUGCACUACGGAUUCGUUAACCCCUGCGAUUAUCCCUAAUGUGGAUAAAUCGGACGCGCAAUUUUUGGCAGUGGAGACUGCGUACGCGCUGUCCCCUC
Bombyx mori (domestic silkworm) is the source of this 163-nucleotide non-coding RNA. The record is from Rfam. NCBI's taxonomy places the organism in Eukaryota, Metazoa, Arthropoda, Insecta, Lepidoptera, Bombycidae.